CAGUCGAGCGAGUCUGCCUUGAAGAUCGGAGUGCUUGCACUCUGUGAAACAAGAUACAGGCUAGCGGCGGACGGGUGAGUAACACGUGGGUAACCUGCCCAAGAGAUCGGGAUAACACCUGGAAACAGAUGCUAAUACCGGAUAAUAACAGAUGAUGCCUAUCAACUGUUUAAAAGAUGGUUCUGCUAUCACUCUUGGAUGGACCUGCGGUGCAUUAGCUAGUUGGUAGGGUAACGGCCUACCAAGGCGAUGAUGCAUAGCCGAGUUGAGAGACUGAUCGGCCACAUUGGGACUGAGACACGGCCCAAACUCCUACGGGAGGCAGCAGUAGGGAAUCUUCCACAAUGGACGCAAGUCUGAUGGAGCAACGCCGCGUGAGUGAAGAAGGGUUUCGGCUCGUAAAGCUCUGUUGUUGGUGAAGAAGGACAGGGGUAGUAACUGACCUUUGUUUGACGGUAAUCAAUUAGAAAGUCACGGCUAACUACGUGCCAGCAGCCGCGGUAAUACGUAGGUGGCAAGCGUUGUCCGGAUUUAUUGGGCGUAAAGCGAGUGCAGGCGGUUCGAUAAGUCUGAUGUGAAAGCCUUCGGCUCAACCGGAGAAUUGCAUCAGAAACUGUCGAGCUUGAGUACAGAAGAGGAGAGUGGAACUCCAUGUGUAGCGGUGAAAUGCGUAGNNNUAUGGAAGAACACCGGUGGCGAAAGCGGCUCNNNGNUCUG
This 717-nucleotide ribosomal RNA is filed under the name uncultured bacterium. RNAcentral describes it as "bacterial SSU rRNA". It matches the Rfam family "Bacterial small subunit ribosomal RNA", at positions 59 to 736 of the family's 1533-position model. The record is from RNAcentral.